RNAcentral lists this ribosomal RNA (497 nucleotides) under uncultured bacterium. Its description in RNAcentral is "partial 16S ribosomal RNA". It matches the Rfam family "Bacterial small subunit ribosomal RNA", at positions 28 to 507 of the family's 1533-position model. The record is from RNAcentral.
GAUGAACGCUGGCGGCGUGCCUAAUACAUGCCAGUCGAGCGAACGGACGAGAAGCUUGCUUCUCUGAUGUUAGCGGCGGACGGGUGAGUAACACGUGGAUAACCUACCUAUAAGACUGGGAUAACUUCGGGAAACCGGAGCUAAUACCGGAUAAUAUUUUGAACCGCAUGGUUCAAAAGUGAAAGACGGUCUUGCUGUCACUUAUAGAUGGAUCCGCGCUGCAUUAGCUAGUUGGUAAGGUAACGGCUUACCAAGGCAACGAUGCAUAGCCGACCUGAGAGGGUGAUCGGCCACACUGGAACUGAGGCACGGUCCAGACUCCUACGGGAGGCAGCAGUAGGGAAUCUUCCGCAAUGGGCGAAAGCCUGACGGAGCAACGCCGCGUGAGUGAUGAAGGUCUUCGGAUCGUAAAACUCUGUUAUUAGGGAAGAACAUAUGUGUAAGUAACUGUGCACAUCUUGACGGUACCUAAUCAGAAAGCCACGGCUAACUACGUG